GAUGAACGCUGGCGGCGUGCCUAACACAUGCCAGUCGAGCGAACAGACCAGGAUCUUGCUCCUCUGACGUUAGCGGCGGACGGGUGAGUAACACGUGUAUAACCUACCUAUAAGACUGGGAUAACUUCGGGAAACCGGAGCUAAUACCGGAUAAUAUAUUGAACCACAUGGUUCAGUAGUGAAAUACGGUUUUGCUGUCACUAAUACAUGGCUCCGCGCCGCAUUAGAUAGUUGGUAAGGUAACGGCUUACCAAGGCGACGAUGCGUAGCCGACCUGAGAGGGUGAACGGCCACACUGGAACUGAGGCACGGUCCAGCUGCCUACGGGAGGCAGCAGUAGGGAAUCUUCGGCGAUGGGCGGAAGCCUGACGGAGCAACGCCGCGUGAGUGAUGAAGGUCUUCGGAUCGUAAAAAGCUGUUAUUAGGGAAGAACAAAUGUGUACGUAACUAUGCACGUCUUGACGGUACCUAAUCAGAAAGCCACGGCUAACUACGUG
This 497-nucleotide ribosomal RNA is filed under the name uncultured bacterium. RNAcentral's name for it is "partial 16S ribosomal RNA". It matches the Rfam family "Bacterial small subunit ribosomal RNA", at positions 28 to 507 of the family's 1533-position model. The record is from RNAcentral.